GACGGAGGCUGCAAGCGUUAUCCGGAAUGAUUGGGCGUAAAGCGUCUGUAGGUGGCAGUUCAAGUCUGCUGUCAAAGACCGGGGCUUAACUUCGGAAAGGCAGUGGAAACUGAACAGCUAGAGUAUGGUAGGGGCAGAGGGAAUUCCUGGUGUAGCGGUGAAAUGCGUAGAGAUCAGGAAGAACAUCGGUGGCGAAGGCGCUCUGCUGGACCAUAACUGACACUCAGGGACGAAAGCUAGGGGAGCGAAUGGG
Molecule: ribosomal RNA, 253 nt
Filed under: uncultured bacterium
Lineage: Bacteria
Description: partial 16S ribosomal RNA
Rfam family: Bacterial small subunit ribosomal RNA
Source: RNAcentral